AUGAUAAAUGCGACAGCUACAAUACUGAUUGUCAUAGCACUCCAGUCUGGCAACAUAGCAAGACCCUGUCUCAAAAAAGGCACUCCACAGAAGGAUGUUAUUAUCAAGUCAGAUGCACCAGACACCCUAUUAUUGGAGAAACAUGCAGAUUAUAUCGCAUCCUAUGGCUCAAAGAAAGAUGAUUAUGAAUACUGUAUGUCUGAGUAUUUAAGAAUGAGUGGCAUCUAUUGGGGUCUGACAGUAGUGGAUCUCAUAGGACAACUUCAUCGCAUGAAUAGAGAAGAGAUUCUGGCAUUUAUUAAGUCUUGCCAACAUGAAUGUGGUGGAAUAAGUGCUAGUAUUGGACAUGAUCCUCAUCUUUUAUACACUCUUAGUGCUGUCCAGAUUCUUACACUGUAUGACAGUAUUAAUGUUAUCGACGUAAAUAAAGUUGUGGAAUAUGUUAAAGGUCUACAGAAAGAAGAUGGUUCUUUUGCUAGAGAUAUUUGGGGAGAAAUUGAUACAAGAUUCUCUUUUUGUGCGGUGGCAACUUUGGCUUUGUUGGGGAAGCUUGAUGCUAUUAAUGUGGAAAAGGCAAUUUAAUUUGUUUUAUCCUGUAUGAACUUUGACGGUGGAUUUGGUUGCAGACCAGGUUCUGAAUCCCAUGCUGGGCAGUUACCAGAUGUAUGCUAUUCAUGGUGGGUCCUGGCUUCCCUAAAGAUAAUUGGAAGACUUCAUUGGAUUGAUAGAGAAAAACUGCGUAAUUUCAUUUUAGCAUGUCAAGAUGAAGAAACGGGGGGAUUUGCAGACAGGCCAGGAGAUAUGGUGGAUCCUUUUCAUACCUUAUUUGGAAUUGCUGGAUUGUCACUUUUGGGAGAAGAACAGAUUAAACCUGUUAAUCCUGUCUUUUGCAUGCCUGAAGAAGUGCUUCAGAGAGUGAAUGUUCAGCCUGAGCUAGUGAGCUAGAUUCAUUAAAGUGAAAGCUGCAUAGUAUAGUUUUGCCAUUUUAACAUUUCUGUAUUUGAAGUGCUUAUUAAAUCUAAAAAUGACUACUGUUAUUAUUUUGUACAUUGUGUUAAAUUAAUUUUAAUAAAUUAUAUAAUUAUACA
This is an RNA transcript of Rhinopithecus roxellana (golden snub-nosed monkey), 1088 nucleotides long. It is a transcript of the gene named geranylgeranyl transferase type-2 subunit beta pseudogene, with no coding region annotated. The record is from RefSeq and is a predicted model, not a curated record. Lineage: Eukaryota; Metazoa; Chordata; Mammalia; Primates; Cercopithecidae. The transcript has a single exon.